Long non-coding RNA from Bos indicus x Bos taurus (hybrid cattle), 1325 nucleotides. Lineage: Eukaryota; Metazoa; Chordata; Mammalia; Artiodactyla; Bovidae. The record is from Ensembl.
CGCUGCCCUUGCAGCUGUGUUCCUCGUGGCUCAGCAGCGUGAGCGCGAUUCUUCCUGGCGAGAGAAGCUCGGAGAAGCCGGAGCUCUUUUCGGGUUUUCCUUUAGCGACAGCUCGCCCCGCGUCCGGUCCCCAGGGAAAGCCCCGCGCGUGGCCUGGCCCUGCGCUCCCGGCGGGCUCCGCACGGGGCUGCGGACCGCGGAGCCGGGCCGAGGGCGCGCGCGGCAUUGGGGGGUGGUUUGGGGCCGCGGGCGGCGGCGCGCGGGUUUCGGGGGUGACGUCGAGGAACCAGGCCCAGGAAGUCCCCGCGCCCCGGGCACCAGGACCGCGACCGCUCGAGCCGCCCAGCUGGCGGGAAUCACUCCUGGGGACAGUGUGUGUGCGCCGGGGAGGGGAAGGAGCGGUCAGUGGCGAGGACGGGGCUUCUCUGCCCCCUCGAGAGCGCUCCCCCGCGCUUUGCAGGCGUCCUGAUCAAGGCUGCCAGAUGGGUUCCAGAGCAGACUCAUAAAGCCUGUUGAAGCCAGUGUUUCACAUCAUGUAAGAGCACAUGAAGCUUAUGCAGCCCGACACGCAUACCACAGUACAGCUGGUAUGAAAAUUACUAAGACCCUGUCUUAGAGUUUACUGCCUGUGGAAAGAUUCAUUGCAAAUCCCAAGUAAUCAGCUAGGAACACUACGGUCAGAUGGGGACUCUCUGAUGUGAAAUGGUUACAUAGGACAAUACCUGUCCUGUUACAAAUGACCAGAUAUCACCAGAGUUGGCAAAGGAAGAAAAUUCCUUAUAUAUUAGGUUUUGUUUUUUUUUUAAUGGUUUAGAACUUAAAAGUCAGCGAACAUUGUCCUUCUAUCACAUUUGCAGUUAAUGCAUUUUUAUCCGUAUAAUUGAGGGGAAAAGACACUUCACUGACUGCGUUUGUUGUCAGUAUCCGUUCUUGACCGUUGGCCUUUUAAACUGGUGCUAGGAUUGUUUUCCUGUCUUGGAGUUUUAGGAUCAAUGCUUAAUAUCAUUACCAUAGGUCUCGCUUAGACAACUCUCAGGAUGAGAAUGGCAGAGACUUCAGUCAUGUGGUAUUUAAAAGGGGACUCUUCUUAUAUUUUGUUACACUACUGUUGCAUUUGUGGUUGUCAUCGUCAUCAGCAGCAGCAGCACGACUGAGAUUUAUUAAACGCUUACUGUGUGCCCAGCACCACACUUCGAGAGCCUCUUCUUUAGAACACCCAUUGACAGUUGGCAGCAAAAACUGGUUUCUGCCAAACAGUGUUUCGAGAACUGCCCUGGCCAUCAUCCACGAGUUUUGGUCAGUCAAUAAACACAGAGCACCCUGCA